RNAcentral lists this ribosomal RNA (647 nucleotides) under uncultured Bacteroidales bacterium. Its description in RNAcentral is "bacterial SSU rRNA". It matches the Rfam family "Bacterial small subunit ribosomal RNA", at positions 76 to 718 of the family's 1533-position model. Lineage: Bacteria; Pseudomonadati; Bacteroidota; Bacteroidia; Bacteroidales. The record is from RNAcentral.
CUUGCUAAGGCUGAUGGCGACCGGCGCACGGGUGAGUAACACGUAUCCAACCUGCCGUCUACUCUUGGCCAGCCUUCUGAAAGGAAGAUUAAUCCAGGAUGGCAUCAUGAGUUCACAUGUCCGCAUGAUUAAAGGUAUUUUCCGGUAGACGAUGGGGAUGCGUUCCAUUAGAUAGUAGGCGGGGUAACGGCCCACCUAGUCAACGAUGGAUAGGGGUUCUGAGAGGAAGGUCCCCCACAUUGGAACUGAGACACGGUCCAAACUCCUACGGGAGGCAGCAGUGAGGAAUAUUGGUCAAUGGGCGAUGGCCUGAACCAGCCAAGUAGCGUGAAGGAUGACUGCCCUAUGGGUUGUAAACUUCUUUUAUAAAGGAAUAAAGUCGGGUAUGCAUACCCGUUUGCAUGUACUUUAUGAAUAAGGAUCGGCUAACUCCGUGCCAGCAGCCGCGGUAAUACGGAGGAUCCGAGCGUUAUCCGGAUUUAUUGGGUUUAAAGGGAGCGUAGAUGGAUGUUUAAGUCAGUUGUGAAAGUUUGCGGCUCAACCGUAAAAUUGCAGUUGAUACUGGAUGUCUUGAGUGCAGUUGAGGCAGGCGGAAUUCGUGGUGUAGCGGUGAAAUGCUUAGAUAUCACGAAGAACUCCGAUUGCGA